GUCCGAGUCAGGCGCGUAAGGCGCGUGCAGGUGUUCCCUAGAAGAGGAGAAAGAAGACCGAGUCUCGAAGCUACAGCGGCAAAGUGAAGGCAGGAAUGCCGGCAGUUCGGCUCCCGCAGUUCUUAUUCACCGAUGAGCAGUUUUCUUCUGACCGAUUUGUGUGAUAAUUUUGUUCACAGACUGUCGGCAGCGUGACAACCAUGGAACAGUAUGCAGAAGUGCCAGAGCUGCUUGGAAGAGACACUGUUGGGGGGGGAAACUCUGUAGUCCCUCCGUUUCGGAAUUCAAACUCUACGCUGAUGGCAUACAACUUGCUAGGGUAGUUGCGCACUCAUAAAACAAAAGUAAACUGCA
Molecule: long non-coding RNA, 354 nt
Organism: Ornithodoros turicata
Lineage: Eukaryota; Metazoa; Arthropoda; Arachnida; Ixodida; Argasidae
Exons: 3
Source: RefSeq, a predicted model, not a curated record